Molecule: ribosomal RNA, 261 nt
Filed under: uncultured bacterium
Lineage: Bacteria
Description: partial 16S ribosomal RNA
Rfam family: Bacterial small subunit ribosomal RNA
Source: RNAcentral
CGGGACGGGUGGAGUAACGCGUGGGUAACCGUGCCUUAUACAGGGGGAGUAACAGUCAGAAAUGGCUGCUAAUACCGCAUAAGCGCACAGAGCUGCAUGGCUCAGUGUAGAAAACUCCGGUGGUAUAAGAUGGACCCGCGUUGGAUUAGCUUGUUGGGUGGGGUAACGGCCCACCAAGGCGACGAUCCAUAGCCGGCCUGAGAGGGUGAACGGCCACAUUGGGACUGAGACACGGCCCAGACUCCUACGGGAGGCAGCAUG